This is a long non-coding RNA of Cynara cardunculus var. scolymus (artichoke), 590 nucleotides long. RefSeq lists it as uncharacterized. Lineage: Eukaryota; Viridiplantae; Streptophyta; Magnoliopsida; Asterales; Asteraceae. The transcript has 4 exons. The record is from RefSeq and is a predicted model, not a curated record.
CGUCGCUCCCAAGACGACGAUUCAGGCAAAAUCGCUCCCCAAGAUGACGAUUCAUCACUCUUUCUACUCGAAUCAUCAAUAUAUUAAAGCUCAAUUACUUCCACCGCUCCAUCGUCAUCUUCUUUAAUCCAGCUUCCAUCGUCAUCUUCUUCAAUCUUCCAAGUUCUCGAAUCUUUGGUUCACACUGCUCAUUUUGGACUAAUUUUGGCGUGGUAGUAUUGUGCUUUGGUGAGUGGUUGCUAGGGUUCUUGAAGGAGAAAGCUAAUGCGUUGGAUGAGACGGAUGCUAUGGUGGUUUUUGGAGGAAUAAAUUGGGUGAUGAAAUAUGGGAACUCAAAAGGUCUGAUGGAAGGAGGGCCAUGUAUUUCUCCAGUUAGGGAUUGAAGUUGUAUUCCCGAUCAGUUGUAUCUUGGAAGCAGUACAAGAGUUGUUCACUUUCACCCAAUUAUCAUUUAAGAAACCAAUCAGAUUUUUUAAAAUUGACGGGGAUGGUUCUCUCACAGUUUUUUAAUACCCAAUUGUGUGAUGUUAGUUACAGUCUUAUUUCAGCCUUAGGGGUCCUGUUAUGUAUUUAAAUCUGUGCCAUUAAGG